GAAACUAACAUGAUUGAUCUCAGUGAAAACAGUUUUGUUUUAUUCUCUUGAAGCUACCCUCAGAAUUCUACUUUGCAUGAUUACUUGCAGUAUUUUUCCAUCUUCGUUUUUACUCCCCAGAACUGGCUGGUUUGUCAGAGACCCAAAUAACUACGGAAUUCAAUUGCCAGCCUAGGGAUAAGCUUCAAAUUAAAUUUUUCUCACUUACUUUUUUUCACCCACGCCCUGAUUGGAGCAAAGCUGCCAUUCUCAUUAUAGAGUUGUUGCGUUUAAUUAUCCUCUUCCUCUGUCUGAUGGAGGCAGCACUUUAGCCCUGGUUGGGAGGGUGGAACACUUGGCACCUCUGUGUCACUUCUCUUGGUGAGCCAGUUGGAGAACAAAGAACCAAACCAGCUCCAUCUGUGAUAACACGGGCUUGGUAUGUAUGGCUCCCCUGGCUUCACCUGAAUUUAUGGCUGCUCAGCAUCUUAAGAAAUCCAACCACAACAGCUACCUUUAUGUCUCGUUGCCAAAAACUGGAGACCUACAGGCUGAAGCUGUUUUCUCCCCUGUAGGAAAUUAUAUGUGCAGAAUAUCAUCUGUGCAGAACCACAUGGUUUUCCUGAACAUCCAUAUGUGCACUGCUCCUUGAACGUGAGGCACUGUAAGGAGAAUAAAGUCAGGAACACAGCAGCAAAAUGGCAGGUGGAUGCUGAUGUGUUUAUUGGCACAGACACGGAGGCUGCCCCACAUCCCCACACUGGUUUUCCACCUCCACAUUCCCAGCGCUCCCCAGCUCCGAGGGCAGGGCUGCAGAAGGUGCCACCACACUUCAGAAGCUCUAUGGACCAAAAGCUGCAGUGAUACAAAGUGUUUGGAGAGAACCGAUCAGAGAGACUGCCCUGAUCAAUACCUGCAGAAGUAUGCAGCAGCUACCUCUGGAAGAAGCAUACUGAUUCAGGUAGAAAAAAAGAAAACAUGA
RNAcentral lists this long non-coding RNA (961 nucleotides) under Cyanistes caeruleus (blue tit). RNAcentral's name for it is "lncRNA (ENSCCEG00000022822.1)". Lineage: Eukaryota; Metazoa; Chordata; Aves; Passeriformes; Paridae. The record is from RNAcentral.